GGGCGGGGCUUUGCGUCACAGACGUGCGACCGAGUCCCCGGCUGAGUCGCCGCCACCCGCAGGUCUGAGCUGUGGGCCGAGGCGGCGCCGCAGCUGCCGCAGGGUGCGCGAUGCCUUGAACCUGGGAAACUAUGUGAAGCAACACUCUUUCUGGAUUUUGAAAGACAUCAUUUCAUCAUGGGACAGCAAAUUUCGGAUCAGACACAGCUGGUUAUUAACAAGUUACCAGAAAAAGUAGCAAAACAUGUUACAUUGGUUCGAGAAAGUGGCUCCUUAACUUAUGAAGAAUUUCUUGGGAGAGUAGCUGAGCUUAAUGAUGUAACUGCUAAAGUGGCUUCUGGCCAGGAAAAACAUCUUCUCUUUGAGGUACAACCUGGGUCUGAUUCCUCUGCUUUUUGGAAGGUGGUUGUACGGGUGGUCUGUACCAAGAUUAACAAAAGCAGUGGCAUUGUGGAGGCAUCACGAAUCAUGAAUUUAUACCAGUUUAUUCAACUUUAUAAAGAUAUCACAAGUCAGGCAGCAGGAGUGUUGGCACAGAGCUCUACCUCUGAAGAACCUGAUGAAAACUCAUCCUCUGUAACAUCUUGUCAGGCUAGUCUUUGGAUGGGAAGCUCAUCAGAUAUUGUUAGUGUUAGUGUAUGUUAUAUGUGGCCCAAGAAAGACAAUUCUUCCAAUGUGGCCCAGGGAAGCCAAAAGAUUGGACACUCCUGUCCUAGGCCUUCACAUCCACGCACCACUACUCACUCACUGACUCACCUAGAGCAACUUCCAGGCCUGCAUGCUCCAUUUAUGGGUGAAGCAGCUGACCGAUGAGGAGGAGUGUUGUAUCUGCAUGGAUGGGCGGGCUGACCUCAUCCUGCCUUGUGCUCACAGCUUUUGUCAGAAGUGUAUUGAUAAAUGAAGGAAUAAAUUCUUGAAUACUGGACCUGAGGAAACUUUAGAGAUCAACUAGUGAAGUUCAUUAUUUUACAAAAUAAGACUUGAGCGUUUAGGAGAAUUUAUAAAAUACAUACAAUAAACUACAUGUGUUUAAUAUACAAUUUACUAUGUUUCAGCAUAUAUACACACCCAUAAAAAUUAUGAAUUUUUAUCAAUGGAAUCAUAUGUGCUUUUUUGUCUGGCUUCUUUCAUUCAAUCUAAUUGUCUUGGUAUUUAUCCAUGUCGUAGCAUGUAUCAAUAGUUCAUGCCUUUUUAUUGGCUGAGUAAUGUCUGAUAUGUGGAUACCAUAGCUUGUUUAUCCAUUCACCUAUUGAGGGAAAUUAGAUUGUUUUCCAUUUUUAGCUAUUACAAAAUCAAGGUACUAGAUACAUUCAUGGACAAGUCAUUUUAUGGAUGUAUUUUGGUUUUUUCCUUGGGUGAAUACCUAGAUGUGGAAUGGCUAGAUCAUAUGGUAGGUGUGUGUUUAACUUUUUAAAAAGCUGCGAGCUAUUUUCCAAAGCAGUCUUGUGCCGUUUUACACCCCCACUAGCAGCAUAUGAGAUUGCAUUGAAUAAAUAUAUCAAUUUAGGGAGAGUGAAUUUGUUACUAAUAGUCUUCCCAGCCACAUACACCGUAUGUUUCUCCAUUUAUUUAGGCCUUAAUUUCUCUCACCAAUUUCUGUAGUUUUCAGUGUUGCAUAUCUUUGACAUCUAUCCCCAAGUAUUUCAUAUUUUUAUGCUAUUUUAAACGGUAUUUAAAAUUUCAGUUUAUGAUUGAUACUAGUGUAUGGAAAUAUAAUAGAUGUUUGUAUAUCAACCUUGUAUCCUGCACCCUUAUUAAAAUCAUGUAUCAGUUCUGGUAGUAUUUUUGUAGAUUCCAUAGGCUCUUCUUGAAUGUCUGAAUAUCAUUUUUCAAAGAUUUUGUUUCUGAUUCAGAAUUCUAGACUUGAGAGUAUUUUUUCUUUCAGUAUGUUAAUAAUGUUGCUUCACACAUAUUUUGCUUCUGAUGAGAACUCUGUCAUCCUUUUUUCCUCUGUAGGUAAUGUGCCAUUUUUUCCCUCUGUUUUUAAGGUUAUUUUCUUUUCAUUGGUUUUGAGCACUUUGAUUAUGAUGUGCCUUAGAGUAGUUUUUUCAUGUUUCUUGUGCUUGGGGUUUAUUGAGCUUCUUGGAUUUGUAGAUUUAUAGUGUCAUCAAAUUUGGAAAUUUUUCGGCCAUUAUUUUUUCAGAUAUUUUUCUUUCUUCUCUCCCCUCUCCUGUGAUUCCAAUUACCAUAUAUUAGCCCACUUGAAGUAGUCCCACAGCUCACUGAUGCUACUUUUUUUCUUUCUUUUUUGAGUCUUUCUCUGGGUUUCAUCUUGGAUAGUUACUAUUGCUAUCUCCUUUCAUAUUCACCAGUCUUUUUUUUUCUUUAGUGUCUAACUUGUCAUUAAUUCUAUCCAGUGUAUUUUUUUAACCUCAGAUAAUUUUCAUUUCUAGAAGUUUGAGUUUUUAUUAUCUUUCAUGUCUCUUCUUAAUAUCUUUGAGCUUUCUUCUAGUUUUUUAACUAUAUAGAAUAUAGCUAUAAUCACUUUCCAUUUUGUCUGCUAAUUCUAGUAUCUGUGUUAGUUCUGGGUGGUUGUGAUUGAUUUUUCUCUUUAUUAUAGGUUAUAUUUUUCUGCUGCUUUUUUGUAUGUCUGGUAAUUCUCAACUGGAUGCCAGACUUUGUGAAUUUUACCUUUUUGGGUAUUGGAUAUUUUUGUAUUCCUAUGAAUAUUCUUGAGCUUAUUUCUGGAAUAUAGUUAAGUGACUUGGAAACAGUUUGAUUCUUUUGGAUCUUGCUUUUGUGAUUUGUUAGGCAGGACCAGAGCAGUAUUUAGUUUAGAACUAAUUAUGUCCCACUAAUAGCAAGACCCUUUAGAGAACUCUACUAAUGCCCCAAGAGUUAUGAGGCUUUCCAGUCUGGCUGGUGAAACAGGCAGUUUCCCAGGCCCAGUGAGCUUUAAGGGACUAUCUCCUCAAAGCCCUUUGAUUGAUCGUUCAGCCUCAGGUAGUGUCCUCACAUGCACACACUGAUCAGCACUCUGCUGAGUAUUCUGGCAGGGACACUUGCGUGGACCUCUGGAAUUUUCCCUCUGUGCAGCUUUCCAUUACCCUGCCCUGUAAACCCUAGCUGUUUGGCCUUCCAAGAUUCUCAGCUCUGUGUGUUCAGCUCAGGAAGUUUGUCAUGUUCCAUCAGGGUUCCCCCUUCUUGAUCAGGGACUAGAAACUCUCGAGGCUGUAAGCUGGGGCAAGUAUAGGUCUCACCUUCUUUGACCCCCAUGUCCCAGGGAUCACUGUCCUUUGUUGUCUGAUGGCCAGUGCUUUAUUUGAAAGAUUAUAUGAAACCAUUGUUUUAGUAAUUUUAGGUGGGAAGAUAAAUCUAGCCUCUUGGUUGGAAGCAGAAGUUGACUAUUUUUAAAUUGUGAUGUUUUGUGCACAGAAGAGCACACAUAUAAUUAUCUUGUAAAAUAUCUCUGAGGAACCAGAAAUCAACCUAAAUAAUAUAUGCCAGCUCUAGCUUUCACAUUUAGUUUUUGGAACAGAGUUCGAAAUUUUUGUGUAAAAGCCAAAGAGCAGUUGAUAUAAAUAAUUACUUUGGUCCCAGAUUUCACUGAGAGAUGAAUAGAAAAACAUUUUUCCCUGCAUGAUAUGUCUCUGGCUCAAAUAUGGUAUUUUUUAAAUUACCAAAAUAAUGUUUGACAAGAAAAAAAUCCUUUUCGAAAACAUAAUCUUAAAAUGAUCAUAUAUGAGUUCUUUCCCUGUCAGAAAAAUUAUUGUGCAUGUAAAGUUUGUCUUUUAUUUUAACUUUGUAUGCUCCAUUUUUAUAUAAGUCUUCCUGUUGCUUAUGAGCCACAGGAAUUUUUUCAGACCUUUAAGCAAGCAACAGGUACACAUAUUGUUGAAAGUCAUGUAGAUGUUAUUUAGAAAAAUAAUUAAUAAUAUUCUUUCCUCUUGUCAUAUUCUCCUGCCACUGCCAAGAAGUUAUUCCUAGAGUAAUGGCUUCCAUUUAAAUAAUCACAAAUAAACAUUUAUACUUCACACUUUGACCAAAUCUUCCAUUGGUAGGAGGGGAUUUCCUCUUAGGACUCACAAGGAAUUUUUAUUAUAAAGGAAAACUUUACCUGUUUAGGUAUGGGGAUGUGAAUUGCUGCAUUGUUGGUAGCAAGAAAAGACAGAAAAAAAAAAAAAAAAACUAAAUGUCCUUC
Molecule: RNA transcript, 4141 nt
Organism: Piliocolobus tephrosceles (Ugandan red Colobus)
Lineage: Eukaryota; Metazoa; Chordata; Mammalia; Primates; Cercopithecidae
Gene: RNF141
Gene name: ring finger protein 141
Exons: 7
Source: RefSeq, a predicted model, not a curated record